CUAUAUACACAAAAAGAUAACGCCUGAUAUAGAAAAAGAAGAACGGAUCAGCCGCAACAGUGCAAAAAUCCCACCCCCCAUCGUUUGGAUCUCCCUCUUCAGAGAAAGAAGCAAAAUUCCAUGUCCUCUUCUUAAUAAAAAAUAACAGACCCAAGCUAUACAUCUGAUCAGCCGCAGAAUCACAAAAUACACGACCACCCCCUUUUGAUUUUCUUGGAGAGAGCACAAAACAAAAGAGACCUUCAGUCUUUUGAACUUUGGUCUCCAGCCAUCUUCCACCCCAAGAUCACGGCAAGCAUGGACGAAAAUCUGGGCGGAAGAUUCAGGCCAAUUUUUGGACAGAACUAGAAAAAAACGAGGCCCUGAGUUUAGCUUUUGAUUUCUUCGUCUUCUUCAGUUUUGUUGGUCUGAUUGUGAUCUCGGAUUCAAAUUCAAAAUAUAGAACAUAAACAUUUUCAGCUUCUUCUUUGAGUUCUAAUUUUAAAAGAUGAGAUUAUUUGAGGCCGGAAGCUGAGUGAAGGUUGAUUCCGGUUCGAGUUCCCGUCGCCGGUUCGAGGCUCGCAUCAGUAGCCCGUCUCGCAUGUUUGGAAUUCUUCUUUCAUUGUAUACGUUGACAAUUUGCAGCAGUAGAGGGACUGGGUAUGUUAUGGUAUGAGGCCCGACGCUUAGUAUUUUUGGGCACUGGUGCUAUUAGCUUUUGGUAAAGUUGGCGGAGAUAUUUCUUUGAAAGCAUUUAUUGUUGACAAACUUAGGAAUAACAUAGGGGUAUCUUAGCUCGAACACCUUUCAUAAGCAAAUCCAAAACUAGCUAGAUAGUUUCCUGGGCUGCACGUAUACGAUUACGGAAAUCUUUAAAUGGUCCACAUUGUGAAGAGGACCACAAAAAAAUAAGGAUAGAAAUACAACGAAUACUUAGCUGGAGAUGUAGCUGGAUUAUAAGUGUAUUUUUGGCUGCAUUCGUCUCAACUCAAGAGUGGAGUGCCUUACAAAGAUAUGUACAUUUGCAAUGGUGGGGUUGUUAUAUUCUUGUUGGGUUUCCCAUUUUAUGAACGCAAGGAACCAUCAGGGAACUCCUUUCGUUAUGUCUUUGAGAUUGUUAAAGUGGCAAUAUCAAAGAUGCAUCUGAAUUACCCAGUCUCUAAUCACCAGUUGUUCAAGAAUGACACUACCGACACUUAGAUUCUUCCUCGCAUUACAUUCUUCAGGUGCAUUAUAAUGUAAUAUGUACCUAAACUUAACUCCCCAUUGACUAGUUGGUACAGAUAUAAUAGUACAUCUUUAAUUUUUGUAUAACCAUAUGAUAUCCGACAUCUAUUGACUCAAAUGUAUUUGAAUCAUUCGUCUUAUAACAUAUAAUUUUUUCGUGUGCUGAUGGUUAGACAAGGCAGUCAUAUUGGAGGUGUCGCCCCCUUCACGUUCAGCAUCAACCGAGCAAGAAAACGUGGUGGGCAGACGACUUUUUGAGGUAGCAAAAGUGAGGGAAGUGAAACACUUGCUAAACAUGCUCCUAUUGUGGUCAACAUUUCUUGUUUACAGUCUUGUAGGUGCUACAGGGAGAACCUUCUUUUUUGAACAAGCUAAAUAUAUGGAUGACUGUCUCGGAAAUUGCUCACUAAUAAUUUUUGUCAUUGCCAUGACAUUCACACGUUCAACUGUAUUCAGGAUAUGUCCGCUGCACCACAAUUAAAGUCAUGUGUGGCGUCUUUUGAUCAACAGAGUUAGCCUUAAGAAUGUUCUGUUCCGUAAUAUGCUGUGUAACUGCUUGGAGGGUUGAAUAUCACAAGCUUCAUCAUGUGGGGAUACACCCCAUUUGUAUUUUCUGGCUAAUUCCUCAAUUCAUCUUGUUUGAGGUUAUGGAGGGAUUGAAUGCCAUUGAACUCCAAGAUUUCUUUGAAUCUCAAGUUUCUGAGUCAAUGAAUCAGUAUGGACCAUAAUUAAACAAAAUUCGUCUUAUGCAUUAGCCAAUUCUUGAAUGUCAUAUGCAUCUUCAUUUUCAGAUCAUUGUUUAAGAAAGACGUAGAUAAGAGCCGUUUAAACAAGUAUUAUGUAAUAUUAAUAGUUCCUACCUUUCUCAAUUUUUGCUUAUUCUGUUUGCUGAUCAGGAACUAGUAUGAUAAUUAUGAGCCUCAUUAUAUCGAAGUGUUGAGGACAUUGCUCAAAGAUUAUAGGAGGACAUAUUAAAGAAGUGAUGAGAAAUUAGGACAACACAAGCUAGACUUUUAUAUGAGCUAGCUAAGAAUGUAUAAAAGUUUAGCUUGUGUUGUUUUAAUUUGUCAUCACUUCUUUAAUAUGUCCUCCCAUAAUUCUUGAGCAAUGUCCUCCAACACUUCGGUAUCAUGAGGCUCAUGAUUAUCAUACUAGUUCUUGAUAAACAAACAGCUUAAGCAAAAAUUGAGGGAGGUAUGAACUAUUAAUAUUGCAUAAUACUUGUCUAAACAACCCUUAUUUACGUCUUCUUUAAACAAGGAUCUGAAACUGAAGAUGCAUAUGACAUUCAAGAAUAGUCCAAUGGCUUAGACGAGUUCGUUUAAUUGUGGUCCAUACUGAUUCAUUGACUUAGAAACCUGAGAUUCAAAGAAAUCUUGGAGUCUUGUGGCAGCCAAUCCGUCCAUACCUCAUUCAAGAUGAAUUGAGGAGUUAGCCAGAAAAUAGUAAUGGGGAUAUCCCACAUGAUGAAGCUUAUGAUCUUAAACUCUCCAAGCAGUUACACAACAUAUUACGGAACAGAACAUUCUUAAGGCUAACUCUGUUGAUCAAAAGACGCCACACAUGGCUUUUAUUGUGGUGGAGCGGACAUAUCCUGAAUACAGUUGAACGUGUGAAUGUCAUGGCAAUGACAAAAAUUAUUAGUGAGCAAUUUCCGAGACAGUCAUCCAUAUAUUUAGCUUGUUCAAAAAAGAAGGUUCUCCCUGUAGCACCUACAAGACUGUAAACAAGAAAUGUUGACCACAAUAGGAGCAUGUUUAACAAGUGUUUCACUUCUCUCACUUUUGCUACCUCAAAAAGUCGUCUGCCCACCACGUUUUCUUGCUCGGUUGAUGCUAAACGUGAAGGGGGCGACGCCUCCAAUAUGGCUUGCUUGUCUAACCAUCUACGCAAAAAAAAUAAUAUGUUAUAAGAUGGAUGAUUCACAUACGUUUGAGUCAGUGCAUGUCGGAUAUCAUAUGGUUAUACAAAAAUUAAGGACGUACUACUGUAUCUGUACCAACUAGUCAGUGGGGAGUUAAGUUUAGGUACGUAUUACAUUAUAAUGUAUCUGAGGAAUGUAAUGCGAGGAAGAAUCUAUGUAUUGGUAGUGUCAUUCUUGAACAACUGAUGAUUAGAGAUGCCUCUUUGAUAUUGCCGCUUUAACUAUCUUAAAGACAUAACGAAGGGAGCUCCUUGAUAGUUCCUUGCGUUCAUUAAAUGGGAAGCCCAUCCAGAAUAUAGCAAUCCUCCCACCAUUACAAAUGUACAUAUCUUCGUAAGCCACUCCCACUCUUAAUUUGAGAGGAAUGCAGCAAAAAAUAUACCUAUAAUCUAGCUGCAUCUCCAAUUAAGUCUUCGUCGUAUUUCUAUACUUAUUUUUUUGUGGUCCUUUUCACGAAGUGGUUCACUUAAAGAUUUCCAUAAUAGUAUACGUGCAACCCAGGAAACUAUCCGGCUAGCUUUUGAAUUUGCUUCUGAAAGCUGUUCGCUCUUAGAUUCCUUCAUGUUUUUCCGAAGUUGGUCAAGUGCAUUUGAUACUGGGACUUCCAUUGCUAAACUUUUUCUUAAAAUGGAGCAUGGAGAGCUAAAUAGUGCACACGUCUCUCUUAAAAUUUGAGAAACUUCAUACCUGAUUCAACGAGAAAUUUAGAUGAUACCAGAUUUUGGAAGUCACCUAUACUCAGAGGGAGUUUGGUUGAUAAUUCAGAAUCAUCUGUACGCAUAUCUGAUUUGGGGUGAGGUAGGGUGUCAUGGAGGAUGCCAUACGAUCUUUAGGUCCUACUUUUCUUAUGGGACCCUGUAUUCACCAGUUGGGCAGGGCCGCUGCAUAAUGCCUGAUUAAAUUUCUUCAAAAAGGCAAACUGCUUCAACAGCUUGUGCAGCAAGGCUCUUCUACUCAUGUAGCCAUUCUAUACCCAGGUUACACUGUAUUUAGCAUUUAUACACAUUAUAGCACAACGGCCUCCAUAUGAAAGACUAGAGAAACGAAUAGGAUAUCUUGGUCUAAUGUUGCUGCUUGAUGAAAGGCAAGAAGUUCUCAUGUUGGUUACAAAUUCUAUAAAACAAGAUCUUAAUCACACCAACCAAUAUAUUGUUGGACUUGCACUUUGUGCCUUGGGGAACAUUUGUUCUGCUUAAUCACACCUGAAGUUGAAAGGUCGCUGCAGUUUAGAGAUCCUAAUAUUCGAAAGAAGGCUCGAAAUGAGGAGUUUGCUUCUAUUUUCAAUCUUGAGGAUUAUAAAGUUUUAAUGGUCUGUAGGGACAAUGGCCCCCGUGAUGAGAUUUACAGCUUAAUCUGGAGUCAAGAUUUUUCGCAAUGCGAGUAGUGUCAAAUGACAGUCAGUCUGGUAAUGGAUAGUUCAGAAAUAGAACCCAUCUCUCAUAUUGCCAUUGUCGAGGAUCUGAGGACACUUCACCUUCAACUGAAAUUACAGCGAGCGAGGAUUGUUUGGAGAAUGCUGGUCACCUUCUAAGUGUUGAAGUUGACGGAAUUCAAUCUUUGUCACAUGCUUAGUUAUAUGUAGACCACUCAGGAAGAUAUAUUUCUCAAUGAUAAAGACUAUUUUUUCGACUGACUACGUGACUGUAAUUACAUAUAUAUUUAGAAUGGCGAAAUGGCCUCGUGACCACUUAAACUUGUACGAGAUUUCAAAGCCGAUAUAUAAACUUACAUAGUUCCCAUUUGAA
Molecule: long non-coding RNA, 4875 nt
Organism: Nicotiana attenuata
Lineage: Eukaryota; Viridiplantae; Streptophyta; Magnoliopsida; Solanales; Solanaceae
Exons: 10
Source: RefSeq, a predicted model, not a curated record